GUUUGUGUAGCUCAGUGGUAGAGUGCAUGCUUUGUAUGUAUGAAGUGAAGUCCUGGGUUCAAUCCCCAGCUUCUCCC
Dallia pectoralis (Alaska blackfish) is the source of this 77-nucleotide non-coding RNA. The record is from the annotation of a GenBank genome assembly. NCBI's taxonomy places the organism in Eukaryota, Metazoa, Chordata, Actinopteri, Esociformes, Umbridae.